This 590-nucleotide ribosomal RNA is filed under the name uncultured bacterium. RNAcentral's name for it is "bacterial SSU rRNA". It matches the Rfam family "Bacterial small subunit ribosomal RNA", at positions 34 to 626 of the family's 1533-position model. The record is from RNAcentral.
CGCUGGCGGCGCGCUUAACACAUGCAAGUCGAGCGAGAAGCUUUUAAAGGAUUCUUCGGAUGAAUUUAAAAGUGGAAAGCGGCGGACGGGUGAGUAACGCGUGAGAAACCUACCCUGCACAGGGGGAUAGCCAUUGGAAACGAUGAUUAAUACCCUAUAUGACCACGAUGCCGCCUGCCUCAGUGGUAAAAACUCCGGUGGUGCAGGAUGGUCUCGCGUCUGAUUAGCUAGUUGGUGAGGUAACGGCCCACCAAGGCGACGAUCAGUAGCCGGCCUGAGAGGGUGAACGGCCGCACUGGAACUGAGACACGGUCCAGACUCCUACGGGAGGCAGCAGUGGGGAAUAUUGCACAAUGGGCGAAAGCCUGAUGCAGCGACGCCGCGUGAACGAUGAAGGCUUUCGAGUCGUAAAGUUCUGUUCUUGGGGAAGAUAAUGACGGUACCCAAGGAGAAAGCACCGGCUAAAUACGUGCCAGCAGCCGCGGUAAUACGUAUGGUGCAAGCGUUGUCCGGAAUUACUGGGCGUAAAGAGUUCGUAGGUGGUUAAAUUAGUCAGAAGUGAAAGGCUACGGCUCAACCGUAGUAAGCUU